ACUCCUGCGGGAGGCAGCAGUGGGGAAUUUUGGACAAUGGGCGAAAGCCUGAUCCAGCAAUGCCGCGUGUGUGAAGAAGGCCUUCGGGUUGUAAAGCACUUUUGUCCGGAAAGAAAUCCUUGGCUCUAAUACAGUCGGGGGAUGACGGUACCGGAAGAAUAAGCACCGGCUAACUACGUGCCAGCAGCCGCGGUAAUACGUAGGGUGCGAGCGUUAAUCGGAAUUACUGGGCGUAAAGCGUGCGCAGGCGGUUUGCUAAGACCGAUGUGAAAUCCCCGGGCUCAACCUGGGAACUGCAUUGGUGACUGGCAGGCUAGAGUAUGGCAGAGGGGGGUAGAAUUCCACGUGUAGCAGUGAAAUGCGUAGAGAUGUGGAGGAAUACCGAUGGCGAAGGCAGCCCCCUGGGCCAAUACUGACGCUCAUGCACGAAAGCGUGGGGAGCAAACAGGAUUAGAUACCCGUGUAGUCC
RNAcentral lists this ribosomal RNA (469 nucleotides) under uncultured organism. Its description in RNAcentral is "partial 16S ribosomal RNA". It matches the Rfam family "Bacterial small subunit ribosomal RNA", at positions 335 to 796 of the family's 1533-position model. The record is from RNAcentral.